GAAAAACAAUUGCUCUACAACAAGGAAGUCUUUUUUUUUUUUUUUUUUUUGCAUGGGGAGGGGAAAAAAGCAACCUUACCAUUCCCUCUCCCAUAUGCUUCAACUUUCAUGUCUGUUUUGCCAUCUAUUCCAUUAACACUAUGAUUAAUGAAAGCUCUCCAGAAUUUCAAAUACCUUGAAAAGUAGCCAACGCCUGCACUUUGGAAGCUACACUGAAAAUAAAUAACAAUAAAAACAGGGUGAUCCAGGCUUUUGAAGUCUUUAAAGACAUCAGCCCUGUGAUCUUUGUACCACUGCUGCGGAAAAGAGGACAACAUUUCACAUUUCUGGCAUUACUAAUGACAGCACGGCAACUGAAAGAAAGCAUGAAUUUCUGGGAGUAGCAUUAGGAUACAGGAUUCCUGCUGAGCUCACCAGUUCCUUGCUCUGCACAGCUGCCUUCUCAGUUGGGGGUUUUAAACCAGCACUGUGAGAAAGACAGAAAUGACCAUGAUGCAUUUUCCUCACUAUGAGAAAAAGGUCUAAGACACCUUAAGUUGGAGGAACUUCUCCAAAGAAAGGGAGAAUGAGUCUUUGAGCAGAAAGGAAGGAUGCUGGUUCCUCAGGGACAUGACACAGGUGGCUACAGCUCUCACCAUCUGCUUUGAACCCUCUCUCCAGUCUGCUCUCCCGAAUUUCUCUGCCUUUGGCAUCAUUGCUUGGACGCUUUCUCUCCGCCUGGCCCCAGCAGAUUGAUUACCUAUUUGGACAGUCUUCUGUUCUUUGGACAAUCGCCGUGACAUGUGCUGCUUCUCAAAUUACCCUAAUGGCAACUGUGACCAGCAGUGAGUGGGGGCCCGUCUUCCAACAAAGCUCCCAGGACUCUCACUGUGCCUGCUUGAGGAGGGGUGUUGAGAGUUCACGGUGUGUUCUUAUGUUAAGCAAAUUUUGUGUUCAAAUUUCUUAGGAAAACUGAGACAUGAUUAAUACAUUGGGGAUAUUUUAUAAUACCCAGGACCAUAUAAGGAUAAAGUAUGAAUGCUAG
This 1024-nucleotide long non-coding RNA is filed under the name Equus caballus (horse). Its description in RNAcentral is "lncRNA (ENSECAG00000059516.1)". Lineage: Eukaryota; Metazoa; Chordata; Mammalia; Perissodactyla; Equidae. The record is from RNAcentral.